GACGAACGCUGGCGGCGUGCCUAAUACAUGCAAGUCGAACGCAGUGGGGACGGGUGAGUAACCCUUCGGUAACCUCCCAUCAGAGGGGAUAACACUUGGAAACAGGUGCUAAACCGAUACUGAUGGAUGGACCCGCGGUGCAUUAGCUAGUUGGUGAGGUAACGGCUCACCAAGGCCACGAUGCAUAGCCGGCCGGAGAGGGGGAUCGGCAACACUGGGAAUGAGACACGGGCCAGAGUCCUACGGGAGGCAGCAGUAGGGAAUCUGCGGCAAUGGACGAAAGUCUGACCGAGCAACGCGGCGUGAGUGAAGAAGGUUUUCGGAUCGUAAAACUCUGUUGUGAGAGAAGCGGUAUCUAACAAGAAAGCCACGGCUAACUACGUGCCAGCAGCCGCGGUAAUUC
Molecule: ribosomal RNA, 403 nt
Filed under: uncultured bacterium
Lineage: Bacteria
Description: partial 16S ribosomal RNA
Rfam family: Bacterial small subunit ribosomal RNA
Source: RNAcentral